GACGAACGCUGGCGGCGUGCUUAACACAUGCAGGUCGAACGGAAAGGCCCUGCGCUUGUGGGGUGCUCGAGUGGCGAACGGGUGAGUAACACGUGAGGAACCUGUCCUUGACUUUGGGAUAAAUUCAGGAAACUGGGGCUAAUACCCGAUAGGAUCUCCUGCUGCACGGUGUGGGUUGGUAAGUUUCGGCGGUUUGGGCUAGACUCGCGGGUUAUCAGCUUGUUGGUGAGGUAGUUGCUUACCAAGGCUUUGACGGGUAGCCGGCCUGGGAGGGGGACCGGCCACAUUGCGCCUGCGGUACGGAGCAGACGGGUACGGGAGGCAGUAGUGGAGAAUCUUACGGAGUGGGCGGACGCGUGAUACAGCAACGCCGGGUGCGGGAUGCCGGCCUUCGGGUUAUAAACCGAUUUCGAAUGUACCGAGGAGUGAGUGACGGUAAUGGGUCAAGAAGCAACGGCUAACUACGUG
Molecule: ribosomal RNA, 468 nt
Filed under: uncultured bacterium
Lineage: Bacteria
Description: partial 16S ribosomal RNA
Rfam family: Bacterial small subunit ribosomal RNA
Source: RNAcentral